UUAAGAAUCUUGCGCAAUGGGGGCAACCCUGACGCAGCGACGCCGCGUGAAUGAUGAAGGCCUUCGGGUUGUAAAGUUCAGUAAGCAGGGAAGAAUAAGCACCGGGUAAUAUUCGGUGUGAUGACGGUACCUGCCUAAAGCCCCGGCUAACUACGUGCCAGCAGCCGCGGUAAUACGUAUGGGGCUAGCGUUGUUCGGAAUUAUUGGGCGUAAAGGGCGUCUAGGCGGGGGAUUAAGUUAGAUGUGAAAGCUAUGGGCUCAACCCAUAAAUUGCAUCUAAGACUGGUUCUCUUGAGUUCGGGAGAGGAGAGCGGAAUUCCAGGUGUAGCGGUGAAAUGCGUAGAUAUCUGGAAGAACACCAGUGGCGAAGGCGGCUCUCUGGCCUAGGACUGACGCUGAAGCGCGAAAGCGUGGGGAGCGAACA
This 424-nucleotide ribosomal RNA is filed under the name uncultured prokaryote. RNAcentral describes it as "bacterial SSU rRNA". It matches the Rfam family "Bacterial small subunit ribosomal RNA", at positions 355 to 774 of the family's 1533-position model. The record is from RNAcentral.